CCAGACUCCUACGGGAGGCAGCAGUGGGGAAUAUUGCACAAUGGGGGAAACCCUGAUGCAGCGACGCCGCGUGAGUGAAGAAGUAUUUCGGUAUGUAAAGCUCUAUCAGCAGGGAAGAAAAUGACGGUACCUGACUAAGAAGCCCCAGCUGACUACGUGCCAGCAGCCGCGGUAAUACGUAGGGGGCAAGCGUUAUCCGGAUUUACUGGGUGUAAAGGGAGCGUAGACGGCGCUGCAAGUCCGGAGUGAAAGCCCAUGGCUUAACCAUGGUACUGCUCUGGAAACUGUACGGCUGGAGUGCAGGAGAGGUAAGUGGAAUUCCUAGUGUAGCGGUGAAAUGCGUAGAUAUUAGGAGGAACACCAGUGGCGAAGGCGGCUUACUGGACUGUAACUGACGUUGAGGCUCGAAAGCGUGGGGAGCAAACAGGAUUAGAUACCCGCGUACAU
This 447-nucleotide ribosomal RNA is filed under the name uncultured bacterium. Its description in RNAcentral is "bacterial SSU rRNA". It matches the Rfam family "Bacterial small subunit ribosomal RNA", at positions 331 to 795 of the family's 1533-position model. The record is from RNAcentral.